Molecule: ribosomal RNA, 327 nt
Filed under: Triticum aestivum (bread wheat)
Lineage: Eukaryota; Viridiplantae; Streptophyta; Magnoliopsida; Poales; Poaceae
Description: partial small subunit ribosomal RNA
Source: RNAcentral
AUGGGGGCCAUCACCUGCACCCUCCUGACGGCCUGGAACCUCUCCAAGGGCCACCCCCACUUCGACGAGCCGCCGGCCUACCCCUACCUGCACAUCCGCAACAAGGAGUUCCCCUGGCGAGCCAUGGGUUUGACUUCGGCAAAGGGGAUCGCCCUCACCGUCUCCUUGUUUUGGCCUCCUCGCGUUUCUGCUCGGUGUCAUUUAUCUGUUAUACUAUAUGAAUCAUGCAUGCUGAUACACUACUGUGCAAGUUCUAUGGUAUGUGAGUUCCUUUUGUUGCUGCAAGCAUUGAUACAAUAUGUCAUGUUUAGGGAGCUCUGCAUCUGA